This 83-nucleotide microRNA precursor is filed under the name Cunninghamia lanceolata. RNAcentral describes it as "miR164 stem-loop (cln-MIR164)". Its record names the gene cln-MIR164. The record is from miRBase by way of RNAcentral. Lineage: Eukaryota; Viridiplantae; Streptophyta; Pinopsida; Cupressales; Cupressaceae.
CCUGGUGGAGAAGCAGGGCACGUGCGAUACACAGAAACAAUUGUAUAAACCAUUAUCGCAUGUGCUUUCCUUCUCCACCAGGC